Molecule: unclassified non-coding RNA, 320 nt
Filed under: Hevea brasiliensis (rubber tree)
Lineage: Eukaryota; Viridiplantae; Streptophyta; Magnoliopsida; Malpighiales; Euphorbiaceae
Source: RNAcentral
AAGAAAAUACAUCAGUAAUAAGGAAAAAAUCACACUAGAACUUUGAUUGUAAAAAAUGAAGUACUUGCCGUAAAACUCAAGCAUGAAGCAUGUAAGGAAAAACCAGAGUGCGGUAAAAGGUGAAGUUUGAACCUUAAGAAAUAGCAGUAAGCAUUAACUUAGCCUCAGAAUGUAUAAUAUAUCAACUAAAUUUACCAAAUCAUAUCCUAACAUUUCCUCAGAAUGUAAAAUAGAAAGAGUUAGCAGCUACUUUUGCUAACUUCUGAAUAUUGGUAUGAUCAAGUAAAUGGGCCAUGUACUCGUAUAGUGAUGGCCUUUUG